GUGUGUGUGUGUGUGUGUGUGUGUGUGAUUUAUUUUUUUUUAACCCUUAAGAACACUAAAUGGUCAUUGAUGGUGCUUUGAUGAACAUGUUUUGGUAAGACAGAAUCUUUCUAGUCAUCCAAAUAUAGUCCAAACGACACUGACACGACAAGAGAGCUGGAGGUCGGGUGGACUAGAGUUGACUGAUCGAUGUGGUUGGUGGUGGGAGUUCACAACGUUCCCGUCUUGGAAUGCCACACAGUACUAAGGAGAUUAUGGGGAGACACAAAUCUAUGAUCUUAAUUUGGAAUUACAUUUCCCAAUAAGCCUGAUUCAGGCCACCCAAGGAAGUGAUCCAAGAAACAAGGUACUGAAAAUUGCUUUUAAAACACUGGGUUUAAUAUUUUUUGUUUUAAUUACAUUUUUGUGUGUUCGGAUUGCCGUCCCAAUUAGCAGCUGAGUGUGAAGCAGAUACUUCAAGGCGAAUUAGGACCAGAUUCAUCUCCUCUCAUCAGCUGCUGGCCCAGACUCACCUUUGGCCUGGACUACUGACUGAAUGAAUGAAUGAGUGAGUGUGUGUGUGUGUGUGUGUGUGUGUGUGUGUGUGUGUGUGUGUGUGUGUGUGUGAGUGUGUAAGAGUAAGCGAGUGAGUGUUUAUGAGUGAGUGAGUGAAUGAAUGAAUGAGUGAAUGUGUAUGAGUGAGUGUGUAUAAAUUAAUGAAUGAGUGAAUGUGUAUGAGUGAGUGAGUGAGUGAGUGAGUGAGUGAGUGAGUGUGUGUGUGUGUGUGUGUGUGUGUGUGUGUGUGUGUGAGUGAGUGAGUGUGUAUCAGUGAGUGUGUAUCAGUGAGUAUGGAGUGAAUGAGUGAGUGUGUGAGUGAGUGAGUGUGGACUGAGUGUUGCACAGAUUCACUUUUAUUAACAAAUUUCACGGAAGUUUGCACUGAUUGACCGUGUCCUUAUGAUAUUGUUUUGUUUAUUUGUUGCUUUUAUUGUUGUCUCAAAACGGUCAGUGCCCGUGUACAUGAUCCCCCGCAUCUCACUGUGCUGUUCUCUCCCCCUGAGUCCCAGACUGGAUGGACUUCUGUAAAACAAUGAAGGCAAAGCACUCCAGCAGGUGUGACGGGACAGGUGCACUCUAGCAGGUGUGACGUGACAGGUGCACUCUAGCAGGUGUGACGGGACAGGUGCCGCAGCUCUGAACAAAGUCUACCUUCAACACAUUUCAACACAAUACACAACACUAUCUUGCAGACCCACAUACACACAGAUAAAUGUGCAUUUCUGUGGGAACUUGUCCCAGUACGACAUCGAGCCAUGUUAAGAUUCAGCACCCAGCAAAGGGAGUGGUGUUCUGAGAAGCAUUUGUGGCGUAUGAUAUGAGAGAACUGCCGCAUCUGUUACAUAGUGUAUUCACCUGCUCACACACACACACGCACACUCACUCACAAUCGACACGCACACUCACUCACAUACGCACACACACUCCACCCUUUACAGGACUGACUCUGCCUUUACCCCCAAAAAUAAAAUAAAAUUCUCUUAUGAAUCUAUGCUACUGUGAAAUGAUGGUUUUCUGUUUUUUUGUCAUCAAAGAUAUAAGCAAGAGCCAAAACAGAUAUGUGUAUGUGUACACAGGCAUUUGUAUAGGCAGUAUGCUAUCAAAUGUUAAGGAGUAAGUAUUCAUAGACUGUAAAAUCCCAAUAGGUAUGAGUUGACCGCAACUGCAAUGUUUCACCACUAGGGGGAGAAGUUGUCAAGCAGAUUGUUUGUACAGCGUCAAAGUGAAGGCUUCCAAAAAACCUCUUCCCUCAGGCUUUGGGUUGCCUUCUGUCCAAAUGCUUCCAACUAGCCAUUAAAUUCCCCCCCAAGCUUAUUAUGUAAUUAUGUGAAUAAUUUAGGAUUUGGAAUCAAAUCUAGGCCACAUGCUCUGGUAAAUGUGGUUAAUAUAAUUAGAUUUUGCUUUGCAUGCAUUGUCACUAUCCUUGGAGUAACUCUAACUGACAUGCAGGCCAGGUUCAGGCCAGUUCACUGCCUUCUCAGUAGAAAUCCAACUGAAAACUGAGCUGAGAAAGCCAGCACUAGACUAUAUAAUGAGUCCGUUCGAAACAGAAGUUUGCUGCCUUGUUGCUGUAAUAGACAGGUGUAUCAUAAGGCUUAAUACGGCAGACCCAGUGGGUCCGAUCGAACCAGAAGGUUGCUGCCUUGAUGCCUCACUGUCGUGUUAGACACCCCACUGAGACAGCAUGUUACCGUUUGGAAGGGACCCAGUGACCACAGGAGAGUUGAAGGGGCCCAGUGACCACAGGAGAGAUGAAGGGGCCCAGUGACCACAGGAGAGAUGAAGGGACUACAGGAGAGAUGAAGGGACCCAGUGACUAAGGGGCCCAGUGACCACAGGAGAGUUGAAGGGACCCAGUGACCACAGGAGAGUUGAAGGGACCACAGGAGAGAUGAAGGGACUACAGGAGAGAUGAAGGGACUACAGGAGAGUUGAAAGGGUCCAGUGACCACAGGAGAGAUGAAGGGACCACAGGAGAGUUGAAGGGACCCAGUGACCACAGGAGAGAUGAAGGGACUACAGGAGAGUUGAAGGGGCCCAGUGACCACAGGAGAGAUGAAGGGACCACAGGAGAGAUGAAGGGACUACAGGAGAGUUGAAGGGACCACAGGAGAGUUGAAGGGGCCCAGUGACCACAGGAGAGUUGAAGGGACCCAGUGACCACAGGAGAGUUGAAGGGGCCCAGUGACCACAGGAGAGUUGAAGGGGCCCAGUGACCACAGGAGAGUUGAAGGGGCCCAGUGACCACAGGAGAGUUGAAGGGACCACAGGAGAGUUGAAGGGACCCAGUGACUAAGGGGCCCAGUGACCACAGGAGAGUUGAAGGGACCACAGGAGAGAUGAAGGGGCCCAGUGACCACAGGAGAGAUGAAGGGACCACAGGAGAGAUGAAGGUUGAAGGGGCCCAGUGACCACAGGAGAGAUGAAGGGGCCCAGUGACCACAGGAGAGUUGAAGGGGCCCAGUGACUACAGGAGAGAUGAAGGGGCCCAGUGACUACAGGAGAGUUGAAGGGACCACAGGAGAGAUGAAGGGGCCACAGGAGAGUUGAAGGGACCACAGGAGAGUUGAAGGUUGAAGGGGCCCAGUGACUACAGGAGAGAUGCAGUUAGGACAUGCUGAAGAGGAAGUCCACGCGUAAAUAUCACAUGGGUAGAAGCCGUGGAUAGGUGAUCGGUUUGGCUUUACACUGCCUAUAAACACUGCAGGAGCAGGAUCCCAUUGAUUGAUUGAUUGAUUGAUUCGUGGGUCUGCGGAUCACUUUUUAUUAUUAAUAAUCAAACAAUAAUAAUUUAUUUAAAUGUAUUAUUAUUCAGCACUUAGUACAAUAGCCUUGUAACAAAGGGCUUUUAUUUUUACGCAAAUUAAAAUGAACUAUUCUGCAUUUCAAGAGCUGAUCUGCAUUGGUGUGUAUGUAGUUCAUAAACAAGCUAGAUACUGGUUAGUCAGCUGAAUAAUGAAGAAAGAAUGAAAACAAGAGGAGGAAGUUCUUCAAAAAAAGGGUUCUUUAUUACUCCACAGCCCACGAGGAAGAGUAAUACAUUCAGAGAGUUCUAAAGCGCCAACAGACUUCUUUGGCUCCGGCAAUGAUUGACAUAUCAUGACACGACAGGAAUCACCACACACACA
This is a long non-coding RNA of Clupea harengus (Atlantic herring), 3665 nucleotides long. NCBI's taxonomy places the organism in Eukaryota, Metazoa, Chordata, Actinopteri, Clupeiformes, Clupeidae. The record is from Ensembl.